RNAcentral lists this ribosomal RNA (406 nucleotides) under uncultured bacterium. Its description in RNAcentral is "partial 16S ribosomal RNA". It matches the Rfam family "Bacterial small subunit ribosomal RNA", at positions 29 to 526 of the family's 1533-position model. The record is from RNAcentral.
AUUGAACGCUGGCGGCAGGCCUAACACAUGCAAGUCGAACGAGUGGCGGACGGGUGAGUAAUGUCUGGGAAACUGCCUGAUGGAGGGGGAUAAAUACUGGAAACGGUAGCUAAUACCGCAUACCAUCAGAUGUGCCCAGGUGGGAUUAGCUGGUUGGGGGGGUAACGGCUUACCAAGGCGACGAACCCUAGCUGGUAUGAGAGGAUGACCAGCCACACUGGAACUGAGACACGGUCCAGACUCCUACGGGAGGCAGCAGUGGGGAAUAGUGCACAAUGGGCGCAAGCCUGAUGCAGCCAUGCCGCGUGUGUGAAGAAGGCCUUCUGGGUGUAAAGUACUUUAAGCGGGGAGGCGUUACCGGCAGAAGAAGCACCGGCUAACUCCGUGCCAGCAGCCGCGGUAAUAC